Molecule: ribosomal RNA, 478 nt
Filed under: uncultured bacterium
Lineage: Bacteria
Description: partial 16S ribosomal RNA
Rfam family: Bacterial small subunit ribosomal RNA
Source: RNAcentral
GACGAACGCUGGCGGCGUGCUUAACACAUGCAAGUCGAACGGUAAGGCCCUUCGGGGUACACGAGUGGCGAACGGGUGAGUAACACGUGGGUGAUCUGCCCUGCACUUCGGGAUAAGCCUGGGAAACUGGGUCUAAUACCGGAUAGGACCCUGGGAUGCAUGUCCUGGGGUGGAAAGCUUUUGCGGUGUGGGAUGGGCCCGCGGCCUAUCAGCUUGUUGGUGGGGUGAUGGCCUACCAAGGCGACGACGGGUAGCCGGCCUGAGAGGGUGACCGGCAGCGCGGGGACGGAGAGACGGCCCAGACUCGUACGGGAGGCAGCAGUGGGGAAUAUUGCACAAUGGGCGCAAGCCUGAUGCAGCGACGCCGCGUGAGGGAUGACGGCCUUCGGGUUGUAAACCUCUUUCAGCACCGACGAAGCGCAAGUGACGGUAGGUGCAGAAGAAGGACCGGCCAACUACGUGCCAGCCGCCGCCGUAA